AUUGAACGCUGGCGGCAGGCCUAACACAUGCAAGUCGAGCGAGCGGCGGACGGGUGAGUAAUGUAUGGGGACUGCCCGAUAGAGGGGGAUAACUACUGGAAACGGUAGCUAAUACCGCAUACUAUCGGAUAACCCAUAUGGGAUUAGCUAGUAGGUGAGGUAAUGGCUCACCUAGGCGACGAUCCCUAGCUGGUCUGAGAGGAUGAUCAGCCACGCUGGAACUUAGACGCGACCCUGACUCCUACGGGGGCAGCAGUGGGGAAUAUUGCACAAUAGACGCAAGCCUUAUGCAUCCAUGCCGCGUGUAUGAAGAGGGCCCUGGGGUUGUAAAGUACUUUCAGUCGGGAGGCGUUACCAACAGAAGAAGCACCGGCUAACUCCGUGCCAGCCGCCGCGGUAAUUC
This 403-nucleotide ribosomal RNA is filed under the name uncultured bacterium. RNAcentral's name for it is "partial 16S ribosomal RNA". It matches the Rfam family "Bacterial small subunit ribosomal RNA", at positions 30 to 526 of the family's 1533-position model. The record is from RNAcentral.